GUCGAGUCGAACUCAUUUGGGAUGAUUCCUGAACCCAAAUCGCAUGCAGCCCCGCAAAUCAAGACCCUCUUAGAUUCAUCCCAAUUCCCUUGUUUCUUCCCCAUAUUUGGCUCAACAAAACUUCCCUGCAUCACAUUUUAGUCCCCUAAUUUUCUUCCCACACAUGCUCUCAGCCAAAUAGGAUUAAUUCCAUCUUCCCAGCCAAACCAAAUUAGAAUCUUCAAACAAGCCACGUCAUCAUGCAAAACCCCUUCAUUCCAUCUCAACUUCAUGUUCUUCCCAGCUCCCGUAAGAAAGCUAUGUGUCCCUUCCUAAUCCGAAGUCUUCCUUCGGACCCAAAACAGAACAAGGAACACAACCACAGAUCGAGCUUCAUUCCGCAUUUAACCAGAUCUCCCAGCUCUCUUCCCUCUUCCGAACCAAGCAAUCAUCCGAGAUCUUCCCAACGUCUCUCCCCUGCAUCUAAUAGAUUCAGCUUCAUCUCCAACUAAAAAUCCUUCAUCCCAAACUUCCUUAACUUCUCUUCAUCCCGCAUCGUCCACGGAUGUGAUCCAUCCUUAUCCAAGCAACCUCACACGUUCACCCAUCCUCCCCUGUUUCGAGCCAUUUCUCUGCUUCUGGAAGAGAUGGAGCAACCGUACGCGUCUUCCCCGCAUUCACCUCCCCUGCUUCAUGUCCGCAGCCAACUUUAUGAGAUCUUCCACAUCUAAAGAGCCGUUGGCCUGUUCCCAGCCAACUCCACGAAUUCCCAGCC
This 754-nucleotide long non-coding RNA is filed under the name Phoenix dactylifera (date palm). RNAcentral's name for it is "long non-coding RNA (PDAC_LNC013292)". Lineage: Eukaryota; Viridiplantae; Streptophyta; Magnoliopsida; Arecales; Arecaceae. The record is from RNAcentral.